GUAUUAUCAUGAGGAAAGUCCGGGCUUCACAGGGCAGGAUAACGGAUAACGUCCGCCGGAGGCGACUCCCGGGAAAGUGCAACAGAAAGAAACCGCCGCGCAAGCGGUAAGGAUGGAAAGGCGAGGCAAGAGCUCACCGACGUACAGGCAACUGCACGUGCCAUGUAAACCCUAUCCGAAGCAACACCCCGCAGAAAAUUGGUCUGCCCGGCCUGAGCAUACAACAGCUCUAUGCGAGGUGGCAGCAGGAAUUUCUCCUGCGAGCCGUAUGGCAACAUGCGGCAAAGAUAGAUGAUUGUUCUCGACAGAACCCGGCUUACAGGGCGGU
Molecule: RNase P RNA, 328 nt
Filed under: chicken gut metagenome
Description: Bacterial RNase P class A
Rfam family: Bacterial RNase P class A
About the family: Ribonuclease P (RNase P) is a ubiquitous endoribonuclease, found in archaea, bacteria and eukarya as well as chloroplasts and mitochondria. Its best characterised activity is the generation of mature 5'-ends of tRNAs by cleaving the 5'-leader elements of precursor-tRNAs. Cellular RNase Ps are ribonucleoproteins.
Source: RNAcentral